AUUGAACGCUAGCGGGAUGCCUUACACAUGCAAGUCGAACGGCAGCGCGGACUUCGGUCUGGCGGCGAGUGGCGAACGGGUGAGUAAUGUAUCGGAACGUGCCCAGUAGCGGGGGACAACCACUCGAAAGAGUGGCUAAUACCCGCAUACGCCCUACGGGGGAAAGGGGGGAUCGCAAGACCUCUCACUAUUGGAGCGGCCGAUAUCGGAUUAGCUAGUUGGUGGGGUAAAGGCCUACCAAGGCGACGAUCCGUAGCUGGUUUGAGAGGACGACCAGCCACGACUGGGACUGAGACACGGCCCAGACUCCUACGGGAGGCAGCAGU
Molecule: ribosomal RNA, 326 nt
Filed under: uncultured bacterium
Lineage: Bacteria
Description: bacterial SSU rRNA
Rfam family: Bacterial small subunit ribosomal RNA
Source: RNAcentral